RNAcentral lists this ribosomal RNA (423 nucleotides) under Salmonella enterica. Its description in RNAcentral is "partial 23S ribosomal RNA". It matches the Rfam family "Bacterial large subunit ribosomal RNA", at positions 774 to 1195 of the family's 2925-position model. Lineage: Bacteria; Pseudomonadati; Pseudomonadota; Gammaproteobacteria; Enterobacterales; Enterobacteriaceae. The record is from RNAcentral. RNAcentral also lists the same sequence under 2 other names.
CCGAACCGACUAAUGUUGAAAAAUUAGCGGAUGACCUGUGGCUGGGGGUGAAAGGCCAAUCAAACCGGGAGAUAGCUGGUUCUCCCCGAAAGCUAUUUAGGUAGCGCCUCGUGAAUUCAUCUCCGGGGGUAGAGCACUGUUUCGGCUAGGGGGCCAUCCCGGCUUACCAACCCGAUGCAAACUGCGAAUACCGGAGAAUGUUAUCACGGGAGACACACGGCGGGUGCUAACGUCCGUCGUGAAGAGGGAAACAACCCAGACCGCCAGCUAAGGUCCCAAAGUCAUGGUUAAGUGGGAAACGAUGUGGGAAGGCCCAGACAGCCAGGAUGUUGGCUUAGAAGCAGCCAUCAUUUAAAGAAAGCGUAAUAGCUCACUGGUCGAGUCGGCCUGCGCGGAAGAUGUAACGGGGCUAAACCAUGCACC